Molecule: long non-coding RNA, 166 nt
Organism: Rhipicephalus microplus (southern cattle tick)
Lineage: Eukaryota; Metazoa; Arthropoda; Arachnida; Ixodida; Ixodidae
Source: RefSeq, a predicted model, not a curated record
GUCGGGGUGAAGCCUUUUUGUCACUACUUCUACUGGCACGGAUGGAACAUAUGGUAUGGUACCCACCCGGACGGCACACCAUGUCGCUUGUUCCCUUGGAAUGUUGGAUAUUGCCUGCAUGGAACUUGCAUAGCAAAACCCGCUCCAUUACCAUGCGAUGGCAUUU